CCUGGGUUCAAGUUAUUCUCCUGCCUCAGCCUCCCGAAUAGCUGGAAUUACAGGCUGAAGAAGGCCCAACAACAACCUGGAUUGACACCCAGUAAUCCCCCUGCAGCCCCAUUAACAAGACCAACGAAGCAAACAUCUCAAGCCAAGAAAAUUUUGAAGCCAGAGCGGGGCACAUGCCUGUAAUCCCAGCACUUUGGGAGACCAAGACAGGAGGAUCACUUGAGUCCAGGAG
This is a long non-coding RNA of Rhinopithecus roxellana (golden snub-nosed monkey), 232 nucleotides long. RefSeq lists it as uncharacterized. The record is from RefSeq and is a predicted model, not a curated record. The transcript is spliced from 3 exons. NCBI's taxonomy places the organism in Eukaryota, Metazoa, Chordata, Mammalia, Primates, Cercopithecidae.